AGGAAAUGAAUAUUGGAUUAUUGCCUUAACAACCUCCAUAAUAAUAUCUCUUAUUCUAAUCGCGGUUCUGAUUGGAGUUUUAUUUAAAAAUCAAAGAAAAGGUGUUUCAUCAAGAAACCAUCAAAUUCCCACCAAUCAGGCUGAUGAUGAAGAUGCCUUGAACUAUGCAGCUGUGAGUUUUGCUAAGAAACCUUCAUCCUCCAGAACCUCCAGAGACAAGAGCCAUGAAGACGUUUAUGCACAAGUUAAAAUAAAAUAGAUAUAAAGAAAUGACUUCACACUUGAACUACAAUAUAAAUACAAUUAUUCACCCAGUUUGUAGACAGAUGUGUCAUAUUUUAAUGAGACAAAAACAUUUUUAUUGCUGUAAGUUUUAUCACCAUUUCCAAACCUUUGUAAUUUACUAAUUUGCCUUACUUGAUGGAUGUAUUUGUUUCUUAAUUUAUUGAUUGAUUUUUAUCCCUUUUAUUGUAAUUUUAUUUUCAUUAUCUGCUGUUUCUAGUUUUCUAGAAUGUAAAAAUUUUUUUUUUUAUUUUUAUUUUAUUUUGAAGGUGAUCAAGAAAUGGCUCAUGGUAAACAAUCUGCUUAAACUUUUAUUUUGUAAUUUAUUUUGCUUGGGAGCUUUGUAAAGAUGCUAAAUCUUUUGAAUAUUGUAAUUACUUUAGAUUAGCUAAAACAUUUUUGUAGCCAGUACAUCUGUAAACGUAAUACAUUUUCCACUUUUCCAGAAAUACUAAGGACAUUUAUGUGCAACAGGGCUGAAUAUAAAGACGAGUGGUUACUGCAUUACUGAUGAGAUUUGACUGUUUAACCUGAAACUAAAUUCCAGAUAGACAUUUACGUGAAUGAUGUCAAUGACCAUAAUUAAUCCAAUUUCAUUUAAUUUUGUUUAAAUCAAUUUUCAACAUUUAUUAAAAAUUUUGUUUAGUACAUAAUUAAUCGACAAAUCUUCCAGAUCAACAUGUUUAUUGACUCCAGUCCUUCACUUGAAGCUCAUGUAGCUAAUAUUACUAGGAUAGCCUUCUUUCAUCUCAGAAAUAUUGCUAAGAUAAGAAAUAUAAUGUCACUACACGAUGCAGAAAAACAGUUCAUGCUUUUGUUACCUCUAGGUUGGAUUAUUGUAAUGCCUUACUGUCUGGACAUUCUACUGGUGCAUAAACAAGCUCCACUUAGUCCAGAAUGCAGCAGCCAGAGUUUUUACUAGAACCAGACAACAUGACCACAUCACCUCUAUCUUAUUCACACUGCAUUGGCUCCCAAUCAAAUUUCGCAUUGAUUAUAAAAUACUACUACUGACCUAUAAAGCACUGAAUGGUCUUGUGCCGCAGUACCUGAGUGAACUUCUGGUCUUUUAUGAUCCAGCACACCUACUUCGAUCAAAAGGCUCUUUGUUGGUACCUUGAAUAGUAACCACUACAGCAGGGGGCAGAGCUUUCUCUUACAAAGCUCCACAGGUAUGGAACAGCAUUGCAAUUAGUGUGCAGGACUCAGAUACAGUCUCAGUGUUUAAGUCGAGGCUGAAAACAUGUUUCUUUAGUCAAGCCCUUUGUCAAUAGUUUUUUUCUUAGGUUAAGGAGCAGAUCUGGAGAGCUCAUGGGCAUAGAGUGUUUAGGGGAACUGGGAUGUUUGGAUGCUGUUUUUCCCCCACUCUCAUACGUUCACUCAGGUUUGUUGAUGAUGGAGCGGCUGGCCGCUUUAUGUUCCAGAUCACCCUCAUGUCUGUGUUACCUUCUGGAUCUCCUUUUUAUUUAUGUUGUCAUACCUUGUCUUGGUGGAGUCCCUGCUUUCACUCUACACACAAUGUACAAUUUCUUUAACCAUUAUGUGACAGUCAGCAUAUCUAAUAAUCUCUCUCUGUCUCUCUCUCUCUCUCUCUCUCUCUGUCUCUCUUUCUCUCGAGUUACACAUGCUACUCCUGAGAUACCAGUGAUCCUGACUCCUUCAGCUGUCUGGGCCUGCUCAUCCUGAUACCCUAUUUCUGGUUGAAAUUUUCAUCACUUGGAAAACACUUGCUGCUGCUGAUGAAUCUAUUAGUCAAGAAAACUAUACAUGCAGCAACCUUUCAAUGGUAAAAUAAACAAAGACAGAACUCGUGUUCAGUAGGGCCUCUCCCCUAUAAAUAUUUCCUCAGUAACAA
Long non-coding RNA from Pangasianodon hypophthalmus (striped catfish), 2137 nucleotides. RefSeq lists it as uncharacterized. The transcript is spliced from 3 exons. Lineage: Eukaryota; Metazoa; Chordata; Actinopteri; Siluriformes; Pangasiidae. The record is from RefSeq and is a predicted model, not a curated record.